This 253-nucleotide ribosomal RNA is filed under the name uncultured bacterium. RNAcentral's name for it is "partial 16S ribosomal RNA". It matches the Rfam family "Bacterial small subunit ribosomal RNA", at positions 524 to 776 of the family's 1533-position model. The record is from RNAcentral.
UACGGGGGGGGCAAGCGUUGUUCGGAAUUACUGGGCGUAAAGGGCUCGUAGGCGGCCAACUAAGUCGGACGUGAAAUCCCUCGGCUUAACCGAGGAACUGCGUCCGAUACUGGAUGGCUUGAGUUCGGGAGAGGGAUGCGGAAUUCCAGGUGUAGCGGUGAAAUGCGUAGAUAUCUGGAGGAACACCGGUGGCGAAGGCGGCAUCCUGGACCGAUACUGACGCUGAGGAGCGAAAGCGUGGGGAGCAAACAGG